AUACACACACAUAUUUGUAUCUUCUUCUCUUCCCCAAAUCUGCUACCACAAGACCAAUUUUUCCUUUUCUUCUUAUCCUUUCUUGCUACCACAAAACAAAAAGGCAUUUUUGAUUAGAAAACAGAGCCCUUUCUUCUUCACGGGACAUAACAAUGAUGGUAUGGAUGUAUCACCUCGAUCAGAGAACCGAUUUCAUAUAUCAAAGUGAUUUGAUGUAUCACAACCUCAUUGAUACAUAUAGCUCUCCCCUCCCUGUUAAUUUAAUUUCACAGCUUUGGAAAUUGGGGAUCCGAAGAAGAUGCUCGGUAAUAACCCAUGGAUCUGAAAAAGAUGCUCGGUAAAACAAACGAGGUUCCGACGAGAGAGACGGGAAGUUCUGUAAGGGUGGUUGCUCCUCUCCUACCACCACAUGAUCAGAUCAUGUUGAGCUGGUGAGUUUGCCCUUGAUUUUCGACAAAAAA
Molecule: long non-coding RNA, 461 nt
Organism: Cynara cardunculus var. scolymus (artichoke)
Lineage: Eukaryota; Viridiplantae; Streptophyta; Magnoliopsida; Asterales; Asteraceae
Exons: 2
Source: RefSeq, a predicted model, not a curated record